UUAGCUCAUAUUUGUAUGGAAUGGGAUCGUUUGCGUACGUUUGCCGCUAGGGGCGCUGUUCCAACUGCAUACAAAACUGGCUUA
This 84-nucleotide microRNA precursor is filed under the name Bombyx mori (domestic silkworm). RNAcentral's name for it is "mir-2807 microRNA precursor family". It matches the Rfam family "mir-2807 microRNA precursor family". Lineage: Eukaryota; Metazoa; Arthropoda; Insecta; Lepidoptera; Bombycidae. The record is from Rfam by way of RNAcentral.